RNAcentral lists this RNase P RNA (435 nucleotides) under Lactobacillales bacterium. Its description in RNAcentral is "RNase P RNA component class B". It matches the Rfam family "Bacterial RNase P class B". From Rfam's summary of the family: Ribonuclease P (RNase P) is a ubiquitous endoribonuclease, found in archaea, bacteria and eukarya as well as chloroplasts and mitochondria. Its best characterised activity is the generation of mature 5'-ends of tRNAs by cleaving the 5'-leader elements of precursor-tRNAs. Cellular RNase Ps are ribonucleoproteins. The record is from RNAcentral. Lineage: Bacteria; Bacillati; Bacillota; Bacilli; Lactobacillales.
UUAUUCAGAUAAUCGCGGUUUACGAAAAAAUGUAAGCUGAGGAAAGUCCAUGCUCGCACAAGCUGCGAUGCUUGUAGUGUUCGUGCUAGCUGAAAAAAUAAGGCUAGGUAUCUUUAAAGUCUAACUGUCAGGCUCUUAAGUGAUUAUAAAAAGAUUUUUAGAUAACGGCAGGAAGACAAUACUAAGGUUUUUAAACUAUGUAUCAGUAUCCUUGAAAGUGCCACAGUGACGAAGCAUUUAAAGAAAUUUAAAUGGUGGAACGCGGUAAACCCCUCGAGCGAGCAACCCAAACUUUAUGGUGGGGGCAUCUUUUAAAGCGGAAAUGAACGCAAAAAAGAGUAGUUUUUGCGUUUAAAACAAAGAAACUACAGAUAAAUGAUUAUCGCUUAUCUUUUGCUCUUGAAAUUAGAUAAGUACAGAACAUGGCUUAUAGAA